This 500-nucleotide ribosomal RNA is filed under the name uncultured bacterium. Its description in RNAcentral is "partial 16S ribosomal RNA". It matches the Rfam family "Bacterial small subunit ribosomal RNA", at positions 30 to 523 of the family's 1533-position model. The record is from RNAcentral.
AUUGAACGCUGGCGGCAUGCCUUACACAUGCAAGUCGAACGGCAGCACGGGAGCAAUCCUGGUGGCGAGUGGCGAACGGGUGAGUAAAGUAUCGGAACGUGCCCAGUCGUGGGGGAUAACGUAGCGAAAGUUACGCUAAUACCGCAUACGAUCUAUGGAUGAAAGCGGGGGAUCGCAAGACCUCGCGCGAUUGGAGCGGCCGAUUUCAGAUUAGGUAGUUGGUGGGGGAAAGGCUCACCAAGCCGACGAUCUGUAGCUGGUCUGAGAGGACGACCAGCCACACUGGACCUGAGAGACGGCCCAGACGCCUACGGGGGGCAGCAGUGGGUAAUUUUGGACAAUGGGCGAAGGCCUGAUCCAGCCAUGGCGCGUGCAGGAUGAAGACCUUCGGGUUGUAAACUGCUUUUGUACGGAUCGAAAAGGUUUGGCCUAAUAAGCUGAGCUCAUGACGGUACCGUAAGAAUAAGCACCGGCUAACUACGUGCCAGCCGCCGCGGUAA